This is a long non-coding RNA of Lycium barbarum (goji berry), 1017 nucleotides long. RefSeq lists it as uncharacterized. The record is from RefSeq and is a predicted model, not a curated record. Lineage: Eukaryota; Viridiplantae; Streptophyta; Magnoliopsida; Solanales; Solanaceae. The transcript is spliced from 2 exons.
UGAAAAUCAUGAAGUUGUUGGAGUGGUGUUGUAGCCGUGUGAGGGGACUGUUUUAGGGGAGAUUAUGGACUGGUUUGUGUCACAUUUUGAUUGUUGUUGUUAUGGACAUUGUGGUGUAUUGUAUGCAUGUUGAAUAUGUGAAUUGAGGUGUUAAAGAAAUGAAUUAUGUUGAAGCAUACAAGCAGUCCAAAACAGUGGACUGUUUUAGUGCUAGAAGUGAAUUUGUAUGUGUUGAGUGUUGAUUCUUGUUGUGAACGUUUAUUGAAAGUGAAGUGCAAUGAUUCAGGUCGAAAUUGGAAUGAUUUGUGGGCUGUUAUAAGAAUGGAAAUGAUGCAUGAAAGUAAUGUCAUUAAACGUGUUGUUGUUGUUGUAAGUUAAAACUGGAAAAUUGCUAAGUGAGAAUGGACAUGUUAUGUGUGUUGUUUAGCCGUGUGUAUGGGACAGUUUUGAAUGAUGUAUGGACUGCCCAAGUUCCCUAAGUCAUGUUUAAACAAGUUUGGAUUAAUAUAUGAAAGAACGAUUAGCAAUGUUAGCUUGUAGCACUAGUUGGUUUGAAUGCGAACGAAACGUCGUUUAAAUGUUAGAAAGGGAUUGUGAGCGUCAAAAUACAUAUUAAAUUCCUUUGUAGACUAAUUGUAGCUCUUGAUAUCUUGAUAUAGGAUAAGUGUUUUUGGGCAGCAAGUACAAGUUAUAAUACGACUAAACGCUAAAGGUACAAACGCUUGUUUUGGAGAUCCGCCAGCUUAGGAUAUCUAUUCAGCUACUUUGGAGUGCUCCUUUGUUCCGGCGGGGCCCUGUCCCGUCAUAUGACACUAUCACUACUCUUAGAGGUCUGUGGACAUCUGUGUGGGUCUGUAUAUAGUUGUUGUUGCGUUGUAUGAACAUGACUUAUGUUUGGGGCGUACCCAUUCGUGAUGGCAGCCUUGUCGGCUUGCAUAUGUAUGUAUGUUGGGAAUGUUGCGUGUAAUGGCAGCCUUGUCGGCUUGCGUAUAUAUAAAUAUAUGUUGUUGUUAAAAA